GACUUACCUUCAUCAUCCACGUUGGUUGUAGCCUUGGCAGCCUCACCACAGCUUUGCUUUCCGCCUUCCUCUUCUACUUCUCUGGCAUUUUGCUGUCUUUCCUGAAAUCUGGCGUGAGCUCCUUGCCACACUUUCAGUUUCUCCUCAGCUGUGAGACCCCUGCCUUGUAAAGAAGCACCGUCUGAUGCACCCAAUCCAUCAUACCUCUCCACCCUGUAUGGGUACCGAAACUCAGAGGAUGCUUUGGUGUCAUCUGCUGCGUUCCCUAAAGCUGUUUUGGACUCCCCGUGAGGGUCUCCGAGCGAGGCUGUCUGAGUGUAGUCCUUGCAAGCUUGGGUCUGGAACACAAACUCCACCUGUGCAUCCGCUGGGGGGCUGUGGAUCUCCAACCUGACUUGCACCUCUACCUCCUCUUCCCCAUCGCCAUCACUGCUGCUCAAAGGGCCUGAUUGACAGGAAGGCAGAGAUGUGUGAUGUUUUCCAAUGGGGCUCAGCCUGAAGGGAACAUCCUGCUCCUUACCGCUUUGGUUUGGAGGAGGAAUCGUUGCUCCUGGAGUGUCGAUAGUGGUUUCUGUUUUAAUUUCCUCCUCCACCUUCUCUUCCUCCAUUGGUUGCUCAUAGAUAAAAAUGCCAGUACAUAUCCUGUACAGACGGAAACCAAAAUAUGAGCAUUCAAUGAUUUGACUUGUGUGAUAUGCACAUUGUAGAGGUAUGUACUGUGGAUUCGGUCACGUUGCUUCAUCCCUUGAUUACUUUGCAGUGCGUAGGAUAAUCCUUUAGAAUGAGAAUAAGCAACUGCUGCCUGCAACUGAGCCCCUUAACAUGUACUGUAUAUUCCAAGAUAUAUUAAAAUGAUCCAUAAAGGAG
Non-coding RNA from Doryrhamphus excisus (bluestripe pipefish), 867 nucleotides. NCBI's taxonomy places the organism in Eukaryota, Metazoa, Chordata, Actinopteri, Syngnathiformes, Syngnathidae. The record is from RefSeq and is a predicted model, not a curated record.